GAGUUUGAUCUUGGCUCAGGAUGAACGCUGGCGGCGUGCUUAACACAUGCAAGUCGAGCGAAGCACUCUGUAUGAAGUUUUCGGAUGGAUUGCAGUUUGACUGAGCGGCGGACGGGUGAGUAACGCGUGGGCAACCUGCCUUACACAGGGGGAUAACAGUUAGAAAUGACUGCUAAUACCGCAUAACCCGCUAGGGCCGCAUGGCCCGGACGGAAAAGAUUUAUCGGUGUAAGAUGGACCCGCGUCUGAUUAGCUAGUUGGUGAGGUAAAGGCCCACCAAGGCGACGAUCAGUAGCCGACCUGAGAGGGUGAUCGGCCACAUUGGGACUGAGACACGGCCCAAACUCCUACGGGAGGCAGCAGUGGGGAAUAUUGCACAAUGGGGGAAACCCUGAUGCAGCAACGCCGCGUGAGUGAAGAAGUAUUUCGGUAUGUAAAGCUCUAUCAGCAGGGAAGAAGUGA
Molecule: ribosomal RNA, 462 nt
Filed under: uncultured bacterium
Lineage: Bacteria
Description: bacterial SSU rRNA
Rfam family: Bacterial small subunit ribosomal RNA
Source: RNAcentral